CGCGGCUUCCCUCCAAAUCCAUCCAAAAAGAAAAGGAAAUGAAGCCCAAAGCGGCAGGGCGGCCCACCCGUCAGUCUCUGCGUCCACAGGUCCAUUCCACGCCACACUCAACGCGAGCGAGCAGAUCGCACUCCCUGCCAGUCGGCCAGUCCGGCGAUUCCCACCCGAUUCCCAACUCUAGUUGACUCCUGACGGCGGCGCCGGCCAACGACGGCAGCCACGCGCCCACGCCGGGCAGCGGCGGCGGUUUCUGCGGCCAGUCUGUCGCUCCCAGGAGGAGCCAGGUUUCUGCGGCGGCAAGCCUCCCGUAGCGCAGUCCCGCUCCUCCGAUUGACGGUUGUCCUGGUCGGCUGCCUCCCCGAAGCCCCCAAAAGAUCCAUCCACGGCCAGUACCGCUGCCAAACAAGUUUCUUCAGAUGUAAUUGUUCUUGUGAUGUGGAUGUAGUGAUGUGCUGAUGUAUCUUUUUGUCAAAAUCUGUUGAAAUGGUACUUUCCUCUAUGAA
Long non-coding RNA from Triticum aestivum (bread wheat), 503 nucleotides. RefSeq lists it as uncharacterized. Lineage: Eukaryota; Viridiplantae; Streptophyta; Magnoliopsida; Poales; Poaceae. The record is from RefSeq and is a predicted model, not a curated record. The transcript is spliced from 2 exons.